ACGUACACUCCUGCGGGAGGCAGCAGUGGGGAAUAUUGCACAAUGGGCGCAAGCCUGAUGCAGCCAUGCCGCGUGUAUGAAGAAGGCCUUCGGGUUGUAAAGUACUUUCAGCGGGGAGGAAGGCAAUACGGUUAAUAACCGUGUUGAUUGACGUUACCCGCAGAAGAAGCACCGGCUAACUCCGUGCCAGCAGCCGCGGUAAUACGGAGGGUGCAAGCGUUAAUCGGAAUUACUGGGCGUAAAGCGCACGCAGGCGGUCUGUCAAGUCGGAUGUGAAAUCCCCGGGCUCAACCUGGGAACUGCAUUCGAAACUGGCAGGCUUGAGUCUUGUAGAGGGGGGUAGAAUUCCAGGUGUAGCGGUGAAAUGCGUAGAGAUCUGGAGGAAUACCGGUGGCGAAGGCGGCCCCCUGGACAAAGACUGACGCUCAGGUGCGAAAGCGUGGGGAGCAAACAGGAUUAGAAACCCCGGUAGUCCC
This 476-nucleotide ribosomal RNA is filed under the name uncultured organism. RNAcentral describes it as "partial 16S ribosomal RNA". It matches the Rfam family "Bacterial small subunit ribosomal RNA", at positions 329 to 797 of the family's 1533-position model. The record is from RNAcentral.